GAUGAACGCUAGCGGCAGGCCUAAUACAUGCAAGUCGAACGGAUAUAUGUUUUUCGGAAUAUAUAUUAGUGGCGCACGGGUGAGUAACACGUACAUAACUUGCCCUCAAGCGGGGGAUAGCCUUGGGAAACUGAGAGUAAUACCCCAUAGAAUUAUUGGACGGCAUCGUUUGAUAAUUAAAACUACGGUGCUUGGGGAUAGAUGUGCGUCUGAUUAGCUAGUUGGUGAGGUAACUGCUCACCAAGGCGACGAUCAGUAGGGGGCGUGAGAGCGUGGCCCCCCCACACGGGUACUGAGACACGGACCCGACUCCUACGGGAGGCAGCAGUAAGGAAUAUUGGUCAAUGGAGGGAACUCUGAACCAGCCAUGCCGCGUGAAGGAUGACGGCCCUCUGGGUUGUAAACUUCUUUUGGAUGGGGCGAAAAAACGGGNUUUAUCCUGGACUGACGGUACCAUCAGAAUAAGCACCGGCUAACUCCAUGCCAGCAGCCGCGGUAAA
Molecule: ribosomal RNA, 500 nt
Filed under: uncultured bacterium
Lineage: Bacteria
Description: bacterial SSU rRNA
Rfam family: Bacterial small subunit ribosomal RNA
Source: RNAcentral